UGGUUUUAGUUGGUUUCUUUGUUAUUAUUACUUGCUAACUUCUUUAUGAACUUAAAUUUUGCAAGGAUCUGAUCGAAUAUCUCAAAUACACUUUAUUCUGAGUGUGGAAUUUUACUUCAGAUUCUCUUACCUGGAAGAUUCUCAAGCUCAAAUAGCAUCAUCACAGUUGGAAUGCAGGUCAUAAUAGUCUCUCACAGUGUGUAGUUUUCUAUUGUGUCAAGAUAUCUUUUAGUA
Molecule: long non-coding RNA, 234 nt
Organism: Pistacia vera
Lineage: Eukaryota; Viridiplantae; Streptophyta; Magnoliopsida; Sapindales; Anacardiaceae
Exons: 3
Source: RefSeq, a predicted model, not a curated record